This 381-nucleotide long non-coding RNA is filed under the name Brassica napus (rape). Its description in RNAcentral is "long non-coding RNA (BNAP_LNC015479)". Lineage: Eukaryota; Viridiplantae; Streptophyta; Magnoliopsida; Brassicales; Brassicaceae. The record is from RNAcentral.
UGGUAACCACUUAUAAUAUAUAUCUUUGAGAAGAUAGUGGCUCCACUUAGCUCAUACAUCAUGUCACCAAACCGUGAGAUUAGAUGUCUAUACUUGGUGGUAACCACUUAUAAUAUAUAUCUUUGAGAAGAUAGUGGCUCCACUUAGCUCAUACAUCAUGUGGCUCCAUGUGCCAUAUUUAUUUGGAACAAGUACGACUUGUGCAUCACAAGGACUAAGGCUCUCUCUCACAUACCCCUUUUCAUCUAGCUCAUGAACUUGUCUCUCCAACUCUUUGAUCUCUUCAUGGUUCACUCUGUAUGCAGACUUGUUAGGGUACAAAGUUUAUUUGUUUUUUUUUUCGUAGUGGAGGCAAACCAUCUUGAAACACAUCUUUAAACC